GUGAAAAGCACCCCGGAAGGGGAGUGAAAUAGAUCCUGAAACCGUGUGCCUACAACAAGUCAAAGCUCGUUAAUGAGUGAUGGCGUGCCUUUUGUAGAAUGAACCGGCGAGUUACGAUUGCAUGCGAGGUUAAGUCGAAGAGACGGAGCCGCAGCGAAAGCGAGUCUGAAUAGGGCGAAUGAGUAUGUAGUCGUAGACCCGAAACCAUGUGAUCUACCCAUGUCCAGGUUGAAGGUGCGGUAAAACGCACUGGAGGACCGAACCCACGUACGUUGAAAGUGCGGGGAUGAGGUGUGGGUAGCGGAGAAAUUCCAAACGAACUUGGAGAUAGCUGGUUCUCUCCGAAAUAGCUUUAGGGCUAGCCUCGGAAUUGAGAAUGAUGGAGGUAGAGCACUGUUUGGACUAGGGGCCCAUCUCGGGUUACCGAAUUCAGAUAAACUCCGAAUGCCAUUCAUUUAUAUCCGGGAGUCAGACUGCGAGUGAUAAGAUCCGUAGUCGAAAGGGAAACAGCCCAGACCACCAGCUAAGGUCCCAAAAUAUAUGUUAAGUGGAAAAGGAUGUGGGGUUG
RNAcentral lists this ribosomal RNA (568 nucleotides) under Acinetobacter baumannii. Its description in RNAcentral is "bacterial LSU rRNA". It matches the Rfam family "Bacterial large subunit ribosomal RNA", at positions 514 to 1083 of the family's 2925-position model. The record is from RNAcentral. Lineage: Bacteria; Pseudomonadati; Pseudomonadota; Gammaproteobacteria; Moraxellales; Moraxellaceae.